AUGAAGGCUUCGGGUCGUAAAGCACUUUCGCCAGGGAUGAUAAUGACAGUACCUGGUAAAGAAACCCCGGCUAACUCCGUGCCAGCAGCCGCGGUAAUACGGAGGGGGUUAGCGUUGUUCGGAAUUACUGGGCGUAAAGCGUACGUAAGCGGAUCAGAAAGUUGGGGGUGAAAUCCCGGGGCUCAACCCCGGAACUGCCUCCUAAACUCCUGGUCUUGAGUUCAAGAGAGGUGAGUGGAAUUCCAAGUGUAGAGGUGAAAUUCAUAUAUAUUUGGAGGAACACCAUUGGCGAAGGCGGCUCACUGGCUCGAUACUGACGCUGAGGUCCUAAAGCGUGGGGAGCAAACAGGAUUAGAUACCCUGGUAGUCCAC
This 372-nucleotide ribosomal RNA is filed under the name Sulfitobacter dubius. RNAcentral's name for it is "bacterial SSU rRNA". It matches the Rfam family "Bacterial small subunit ribosomal RNA", at positions 408 to 798 of the family's 1533-position model. Lineage: Bacteria; Pseudomonadati; Pseudomonadota; Alphaproteobacteria; Rhodobacterales; Roseobacteraceae. The record is from RNAcentral.